Molecule: small RNA, 148 nt
Filed under: Macaca fascicularis (crab-eating macaque)
Lineage: Eukaryota; Metazoa; Chordata; Mammalia; Primates; Cercopithecidae
Also listed under: 1 other name
Description: Metazoan signal recognition particle RNA (ENSMFAG00000055834.1)
Rfam family: Metazoan signal recognition particle RNA
About the family: The signal recognition particle (SRP) is a universally conserved ribonucleoprotein. It is involved in the co-translational targeting of proteins to membranes.
Source: Rfam by way of RNAcentral
GCCAGGCGUGGUGGCGCACGCCUGUAAUCCCAGCUACUUGGGAGGCUGAGGCAGAAGAAUUGCUUGAAUCCAGGAGGCAGAGGUUGCAGUGAGCUGAGGUUGUGCCACUGCACUCCAGCCUGGGUGACAGAGCAAGACCCCGUCUCAA